CAGUCCCCAGCUCCUUCCUGCAUUGCGGAGAAAGUGCGGCCCCGGGACCCCCGCGGGCCGGCCUAGGGCACGGCGUCAGCCUCUGCAGCGUGUUUCUGCCUGGUGUGUGGGUGAGGGAAACCUAAGUCUGCCAGGAAAUCGCCUUAUUGUCACCUCGCACUCUUAUCCUCAAUGAAAGAAGUUUGAAGAUUGAGUGUCCUACAAGGUGAUUUUCCUGCAUGGAUUGGGAGAUACUGGAGACAAGGGCUCUCUCUGUUGCCCAGGCUGGAGUGCAGUUGCAGGAUCUUAGCUCACUGCAUCUUUGAACUCCUGGGCUCAAGUGAUCCUUCAGCCUCAGCCUCUCAAAGCACAGAGAUUAGAGGCACGGAUGGGCAGAAGCCUUUGCAGGUAUCAGAAGUUCACAUAUCAAAUAUAUCUGCCCGCAUGCGCCUGUUAGGCCUGUUACAUUAAAUAUGAACAUGGCUAUGCCUUCAUGGUUUGAUAUUAUUGGGCUUUCACCAGAUUCACAGGAGGAUGAAUCUGGGAUUAAACAGGCAGCAGAAAAUAUAAAAGCUUUGAUUGAUCAAGAAGUGAAGAAU
RNAcentral lists this small RNA (578 nucleotides) under Pan troglodytes (chimpanzee). RNAcentral describes it as "processed transcript". The record is from RNAcentral. Lineage: Eukaryota; Metazoa; Chordata; Mammalia; Primates; Hominidae.